UCAAGUUACUAAGAGCAUAUGGUGGAUGCCUUGGCACGAGUAGGCGAUGAAGGACGUGGUAAGCUGCGAUAAGCCCCGGUGAGGUGCAAACGACCGUAGACCCGGGGAUGUCCGAAUGGGGAAACCCGGCUCGGGUAAUGCCGAGUCACUCCCUGCUGAAUCUAUAGGCAGGGUAGAGCGAACGGAGGGAACUGAAACAUCUAAGUACCUCCAGGAAAAGAAAUCAAUUGAGAUUCCCUGAGUAGCGGCGAGCGAAAGGGAAAGAGCCCAAACCGCGCACAUGUAAGCCCGAUUGCGUUGUGGGCGCGGGGUUGCGGGGUCAGAAAGGAUGCGGAUUCGGCCGUGUCGAGCAGUGAAAAAGCUUUUACAUAGUCGAAGGGAUCUGGAAAGAUCCGACCAUAGAGGGUGAAAGUCCCGUAGACAAAAUGGAAAAGUCUGCUUGUUUCUGAUUCCCAAGUACCGCGGGACCCGAGAAAUCCUGCGGGAAGCUGGGAGGACCACCUUCCAAGGCUAAACACUCACUCGUGACCGAUAGUGUACCAGUACCGUGAGGGAAAGGUGAAAAGCACCGGGGAACCGGAGUGAAAUAGACCCUGAAACCAUAUGCUUACAAGCAGUUGGAGUUCCGAGCAAUCGGAAUAACAGCGUGCCUUUUGUUUAAUGAGCUGGCGAGUUGCUCGUAUGUUGCAAGGUUAAGGCGUUCAGCGCCGGAGCCGUAGCGAAAGCGAGUCUGAAAUGGGCGACUAGUAACAUGCGGCAGACGCGAAGCCGGGUGAUCUAUCCAUGUCCAGGAUGAAGUCCCGGUAAAACGGGAUGGAGGUCCGAACCCACCAAAGUUGAAAAUUUGGGGGAUGAGGUGUGGAUAGGGGUGAAAGGCCAAUCAAACUCGGAGAUAGCUCGUUCUCCCCGAAAUAGCUUUAGGGCUAGCCUUGCGACAGAGUAUCGGAGGUAGAGCACUGACUGGGUUAGGGCCCUUAUCAGGGUACCAACCCCAAUCAAACUCCGAAUGCCGAUACUUCGAUUCGCAGGAGUCAGGGAGUGAGGGAUAAGCUUCAUUCCCAAGAGGGAAACAACCCAGACCGUCGGUUAAGGCCCCUAAGUACAGGCUAAGUGUAUCAAAGGAUGUGAAAUUGCACAGACAACCAGGAUGUUGGCUUAGAAGCAGCCACCAUUUAAAGAGUGCGUAAUUGCUCACUGGUCAAGUGGUUUUGCGCCGAUAAUCCAUGGGACUCAAGCCUGUUGCCGAAACUGCGGGAUCAUUCCUUAUGGAAUGAUCGGUAGGGGAGCGUUCCAUAGUAGGUUGAAGCGGAGCCGUGAGGUUUCGUGGACGAGAUGGAAGUGAGUAUGCCAGCAUGAGUAGCGAUAAACCAGGUGAGAAUCCUGGUCACCGAAAAUCUAAGGUUUCCUGAGUAAAGUUCGUCUUCUCAGGGUUAGUCGGAACCUAAGCCGAGGCCGACAGGCGUAGGCGAUGGAAAACAGGUGAAAAUUCCUGUACCACCCGUAUCUCGACCAAGACACGAUGGGGUGACGCAGAAGUGAAAAGCCAGCCGGAAAGUGGAUUGCCGGUCUAAGUGUGUAGGAGGGAGCUUCAGGCAAAUCCGAUGCUCCAUUACUCCGAGGCACGAAUGAGAGGGCUCAGCCCACAAAUUGGCUGUAAUCAGACUGCCAAGAAAAGCCUCUAAGUGAGAGAUAUAGGUGUCCGUACCGCAAACCGACACAGGUAGAUGGGGAGAGUAUCCUCAGGUGCGCGGGUGAGCUCUGGUUAAGGAACUAGGCAAAAUUACCCCGUAACUUCGGGAGAAGGGGUACCCUGAGUAUGUGAAGCUUUACGCGAGCGAAGCAGAAAGGGGUCACAGUGAAAUGGCCUGGGCGACUGUUUACUAAAAACACAGGUCUCUGCCAAGCCGAAAGGCGCAGUAUAGGGACUGACACCUGCCCGGUGCCGGAAGGUUAAGGGGAGAGGUCAUCUUGCUUCGGCAGGAGAAGCUUUGAACUGAAGCCCCGGUAAACGGCGGCCGUAACUAUAACGGUCCUAAGGUAGCGAAAUUCCUUGUCGGGUAAGUUCCGACCUGCACGAAUGGUGUAACGACUUGGGCGCUGUCUCAACCAGAGGCCCGGCGAAAUUGUAGUACCGGUGAAGAUGCCGGUUACCCACGACGGGACGGAAAGACCCCGUGAACCUUUACUAUACCCUAGCAUUGGGUUUCGGUAUUGCACGUGUAGGAUAGGUGGGAGACUUUGAAGCGGGCACGCCAGUGUUCGUGGAGUCAACCUUGAAAUACCACCCUUGCUCUAUUGAGAUUCUAACCCAGACCCGUGAAUCCGGGUCGGGGACCAUGCUAGGCGGGUAGUUUGACUGGGGCGGUCGCCUCCCAAAAUGUAACGGAGGCUCCCAAAGGU
Molecule: ribosomal RNA, 2400 nt
Filed under: activated sludge metagenome
Description: bacterial LSU rRNA
Rfam family: Bacterial large subunit ribosomal RNA
Source: RNAcentral